CCACGGAAGUCACCUCGAAGUCCCCAUUGUUGAUUGUUGUGUCAAGGAAUUUAAGGUUAGCUUCCUUUUCUAAACUUUAGUAGUUAAUAUAGAAACUGAUAGACUCUGGUUUGGAUGGCCUUUAAAGAGGAGGAUGAGGUAUAAAACCCAGUGAAACCUUGGAAAUUAGUCAGUCCAACAAUCAUGACGACCGCGGGAAAGAGAUCUCUUACAAUAAAAUAUUCUCGGAGAAAA
Molecule: long non-coding RNA, 234 nt
Filed under: Zostera marina
Lineage: Eukaryota; Viridiplantae; Streptophyta; Magnoliopsida; Alismatales; Zosteraceae
Description: long non-coding RNA (ZMAR_LNC003063)
Source: RNAcentral